RNAcentral lists this ribosomal RNA (497 nucleotides) under uncultured bacterium. RNAcentral's name for it is "partial 16S ribosomal RNA". It matches the Rfam family "Bacterial small subunit ribosomal RNA", at positions 28 to 507 of the family's 1533-position model. The record is from RNAcentral.
GAUGAACGCUGGCGGCGUGCCUAAUACAUGCAAGUCGAGCGAACGGACGAGAAGCUUGCUUCUCUGAUGUUAGCGGCGGACGGGUGAGUAACACGUGGAUAACCUACCUAUAAGACUGGGAUAACUUCGGGAAACCGGAGCUAAUACCGGAUGAUAUUUUGAACCGUAUGGUUCAAAAGUGAAAGACGGUCUUGCUGUCACUUAUAGAUGGAUCCGCGCUGCAUUAGCUAGUUGGUAAGGUAACGGCUUACCAAGGCAACGAUGCAUAGCCGACCUGAGAGGGGGAUCUGCCCGCGUGGAACUGAGGCCGGGUCCAGGCUCCUACGGGAGGGAGCAGGAGGGGAUGUUCAGCACGAGGGGAAAACCUGACACAGCAGAGCCGGGCGAGAUGUGAAGGGAUUCCGAUCGGAAAACCCUGUUAUGAGGGAAGAACAAAUGGGCAAUGAACUGAGCACGUAGUGACGGUAACUAAUCAGAAAGCCCCGGCUAACUACGUG